Molecule: small RNA, 131 nt
Filed under: Sporanaerobacter sp. PP17-6a
Lineage: Bacteria; Bacillati; Bacillota; Tissierellia; Tissierellales; Sporanaerobacteraceae
Also listed under: 1 other name
Description: c-di-AMP riboswitch aptamer (ydaO/yuaA leader)
Rfam family: c-di-AMP riboswitch aptamer (ydaO/yuaA leader)
About the family: This family represents a conserved RNA structure found upstream of the ydaO and yuaA genes in Bacillus subtilis and related genes in other bacteria. The ydaO/yuaA element is thought to act as a genetic "off" switch for the ydaO and yuaA genes in its native state.
Source: Rfam by way of RNAcentral
AUUUAAUAUUUGCUUAAUUCUGAAAUUCAGAGAAGCGGGGGAACCAAUUAAAUGGGGUGAAUCCAUAUGGUAGGGCAAGCCCUUUUGCCCGAAUCCGACAGCUAACCUCGUAAGCACUAAAGGGGAAGUAA